GUCCCUUCGGAGACAUCUGAUAAAAUUGGAACGAUAUAGAUAAGAUUAGCAUGGCCCCUGUGCAAGGAUGAUAUGCAUAAAUCAAGAAAUGGUCCAAAUUAUU
This 103-nucleotide small nuclear RNA is filed under the name Cephalotus follicularis. The record is from RNAcentral. Lineage: Eukaryota; Viridiplantae; Streptophyta; Magnoliopsida; Oxalidales; Cephalotaceae.